This is a long non-coding RNA of Uranotaenia lowii, 1007 nucleotides long. RefSeq lists it as uncharacterized. Lineage: Eukaryota; Metazoa; Arthropoda; Insecta; Diptera; Culicidae. The record is from RefSeq and is a predicted model, not a curated record. The transcript is spliced from 3 exons.
AUAAAAAGUUUGCUGUUGUUGGAAUUUCAUUUGCAGGGAUGUCUAUGUGAAAAAAGGGAAAAUCGUGUGUGCUUUUUGACGGUGGCGAAAAAACUAUCAACCUUUUUUAGCUAAACCGGAGUGUUAGAUGAUGAAAAGUAAUGAAUAUUAACUUUUCGUACGCUGUUUAUGUGGAUUCUGUUCAUUUCUGGUUCGAAAAUCGAACGGACGAAGCGAACAAAAACUUCCGGAACCGGAUGAUAUUCAAAAUUAAACUUCCGGGACGGCCAUUGAAAUCCGGUGAAUAUUGAAUACCAACGCAAAUCAUUUUCCGAAGGACCAUCAGACUACGAAGAAAUUGAACGAAAAAAGAAUGGAAGAUUGGUUGGAAAACUCUGGGUCGGAUUUGCUCCAGCCAUGGGCAGAGCAGGUAAUGUUUAAUAUAAUGAAAAUCAUCAAGAGAAUUUAAUCUAAAGAGAAAUUGUAAUUCUUUCAAUAGCUGUCGGGCCCAGACGGAACCUGCUACUUCUCUUGGUAAUCAGGAAUUGAGCCACAGUGUGUUAGUCUACCCGGGCUGGCCACUUCAAUUGGAUUAACAAGCGUCAUAUUGGCUCAGGAUACUUAAAAUGCUUUGGCAGAAGAAAAAAACUACUGGUUGGAGCAUUCCGAUGUGCACAAAAAAACAAACGAGGAAAUACGAGAAAAUAUCGUGUUUUACAUGGGCUGCCGCGAAACAUCGGAUUCUUACUUUUAUCUGUGGCUCUACUACAUCCCAUUAAAAAACGGGUGUGCUUGAGUGAUCAGCUAAGAGAACGGCACUGGAUAACAUUUUCCCUAUCAGAAGGUCAGGAAAUCGGAGAUUGCGGCGAGGUCGGUCAGGAACUUCGUCCCCCAACCUUCCAGUAUAGUUCGAACAUUAGCUUCUAGGCGCUGAGUAGUAACAUUUGGGGAACCUUCCGAAUGGAACGUGAGAAUUAGCAUACGUUCAAUUUUCUCAUUUAUUUUUUUUUUUAUCUCAUGAUAUUGAA